UGAGGGGCUCUGCUGGGGGAAGGGGUCCGGUGGCAGGGGCUGAGCUGUGAGGGCCGCUGCAGCCUCCUGGACAUGCUGCCUUGGGCCAGGCCCGCCAGUGUGGACCUCAGUUUCUCCAGGUGCAAGGGGGGGGCCUGGCCCUGACCUUCAAGUUCCUCCCAGUGCUGACCUUGCUGUGACCUUUUGGAAGGGAGGCCUCCCAGGGAAGCCUCCAGGACCCCACCCUGCACAGUCUGUAGGGAGCAGGAAAAAGGACGACACCAGAGACCCCUGCAGCCGGUCCUGGCCUCCCUGUGAGCCACUAUAACACAAAGCUAAUAUGAAUAAAGAAGAAAGAAGACAUAGAGAGAGAGCUGGGUCUUGGGGCUGAUCGGGGGGCUGCUUUGGGCAGCAAAGACAAAGGCCCCCAAGGACAGCCAGGAUUUACUGGUUACAAGCAUGGGAAGAAAGACUGGGAAGGCACCUGAAGGUUCUGAUCGGGGCCUCGGUGGCCUCCGUCCUGCUGCUGCUGCUGCUCCUCCUCCUCCUCGUCCUCCGACACUGGCGUCAGGGCGAAAGCAGGAAG
Molecule: long non-coding RNA, 565 nt
Filed under: Heterocephalus glaber (naked mole-rat)
Lineage: Eukaryota; Metazoa; Chordata; Mammalia; Rodentia; Bathyergidae
Description: lncRNA (ENSHGLG00000042813.1)
Source: RNAcentral